GAUGAACGCUGGCGGCGUGCCUAAUACAUGCAAGUCGAGCGAACAGACGAGGAGCUUGCUCCUCUGACGUUAGCGGCGGACGGGUGAGUAACACGUGGAUAACCUACCUAUAAGACUGGGAUAACUUCGGGAAACCGGAGCUAAUACGGGAUAAUAUAUUGAACCGCAUGGUUCAAUAGUGAAAGACGGCUUUGCUGUCACUUAUAGAUGGAUCCGCGCCGCAUUAGCUAGUUGGUAAGGUAACGGCUUACCAAGGCAACGAUGCGUAGCCGACCUGAGAGGGUGAUCGGCCACACUGGAACUGAGACACGGUCCAGACUCCUACGGGAGGCAGCAGUAGGGAAUCUUCCGCAAUGGGCGAAAGCUUGACGGAGCAACGCCGCGUGAGUGAUGAAGGUCUUCGGAUCGUAAAACUCUGUUAUUAGGGAAGAACAAAUGUGUAAGUAACUAUGCACGUCUUGACGGUACCUAAUCAGAAAGCCACGGCUAACUACGUG
RNAcentral lists this ribosomal RNA (497 nucleotides) under uncultured bacterium. RNAcentral describes it as "partial 16S ribosomal RNA". It matches the Rfam family "Bacterial small subunit ribosomal RNA", at positions 28 to 507 of the family's 1533-position model. The record is from RNAcentral.